RNAcentral lists this ribosomal RNA (969 nucleotides) under uncultured eukaryote. Its description in RNAcentral is "SSU rRNA". It matches the Rfam family "Eukaryotic small subunit ribosomal RNA", at positions 123 to 1113 of the family's 1831-position model. The record is from RNAcentral.
GAUAUCGAAUUUACAUGGAUAACCGUGGUAAUUCUAGAGCUAAUACAUGCUGGUAGGCCCGACUUUUGCGGAAGGGCGGUAUUUAUUAGAUAACAAGCCAAUAUUCCUCUGGUCUAUUGUGGUGACUCAUAAUAACUGAUCGAAUCGCAAGGCCUUUGGCCGCGAUAAGUCAUUCAAGUUUCUGCCCCAUCAGCUUUCGAUGGUAGUGUAUUGGACUACCAUGGCGUUUACGGGUAACGGAGGAUUAGGGUUCGAUUCCGGAGAGGGAGCCUGAGAAACGGCUACCACAUCUAAGGAAGGCAGCAGGCGCGUAAAUUACCCAAUCCUGACUCAGGGAGGUAGUGACAAGAAAUAACGGACCGAGGCCUUCGGGCUUCGGGAUUGGAAUGAGCCGAAUUUACACCCCUUAGCGAAGAUCGAUUGGAGGGCAAGUCUGGUGCCAGCAGCCGCGGUAAUUCCAGCUCCAAUAGCGUAUAUUAAAGUUGUUGCAGUUAAAAAGCUCGUAGUUGGAUUUCUGGGAGGGUGCCGAUGUCCACUUAACGUGUGCGCAGCGGCGCCCUCUCAUCCUUCUGUUAGCGUCUCUUGGCAUUCAUUUGCUGGUGGCGGGCUCAGAUAUUUUACCUUGAGAAAAUUAGAGUGUUUCAGGCAGGCUAGGCCGGAAUACAUUAGCAUGGAAUAAUGGAAUAGGACUACGGUCUCUUUGUUGGUUUGAGGGACUGCAGUAAUGAUUAAUAGGGAUAGUUGGGGGCAUUAGUACUUAACUGUCAGAGGUGGAAUUCUCAGAUUUGUUAAAGACUGACUUAUGCGAAAGCAUUUGCCAAGGAUGUUUUCAUUAAUCAAGAACGAAAGUUAGGGGAUCAAAGACGAUCAGAUACCGUCCUAGUCUUAACCAUAAACUAUGCCGACUCGGGAUUGGGGGCGUGUUCUAUCCGCCUUCAGCACCGUAUGAGAAAUCAAAGUCUUUGGGGU